GAUGAACGCUGGCGGCGUGCUUAACACAUGCAAGUCGAACGAUGAAAGAGGAGCUUGCCCCUCUGGAUUAGUGGCGCACGGGUGAGUAACACGUGAGCAAUCUGCCCCUAACUCCGGAAUAACUACGGGAAACUGUAGCUAAUACCGGAUAUGCGCCGAACAGGCAUCUGGAUCGGUGGUAAAAAAUUUCCGUCAGGGAUCUUCUCGCUGCCUAUCGGCUUGUUGGGGAGGUAACGGUUCACCAAGGCUACGAAGGCUAGCCCGCCUUGGAGGGUGACCACGGACAUGAGGACUGCGAGACGGCGCAGAACCCUACGGUAGGCAACAGGGGGGAAUAUUGCACAAUGAGCGCAAGCCUGAUGCAGAGACGCCGCGUGAGGGAUGACGGCCUUCGGGUGAUAAACCUCUUUUAGCAGAGAAGUAGCGAAAGUGACGGUACCUACAGAAAAAGCGCCGGCUAACUACGUG
Molecule: ribosomal RNA, 468 nt
Filed under: uncultured bacterium
Lineage: Bacteria
Description: partial 16S ribosomal RNA
Rfam family: Bacterial small subunit ribosomal RNA
Source: RNAcentral